UGCCUACGGGGGGCAGCAGUAGGGAAUCUUCCACAAUGGACGAAAGUCUGAUGGAGCAACGCCGCGUGAGUGAAGAAGGGUUUCGGCUCGUAAAGCUCUGUUGGUAGUGAAGAAAGAUAGAGGUAGUAACUGGCCUUUAUUUGACGGUAAUUACUUAGAAAGUCACGGCUAACUACGUGCCAGCAGCCGCGGUAAUACGUAGGGGGCAAGCGUUGUCCGGAUUUAUUGGGCGUAAAGGGAGCGCAGGCGGCAGCG
Molecule: ribosomal RNA, 255 nt
Filed under: uncultured bacterium
Lineage: Bacteria
Description: partial 16S ribosomal RNA
Rfam family: Bacterial small subunit ribosomal RNA
Source: RNAcentral